RNAcentral lists this ribosomal RNA (705 nucleotides) under uncultured Bacteroidales bacterium. RNAcentral describes it as "bacterial SSU rRNA". It matches the Rfam family "Bacterial small subunit ribosomal RNA", at positions 60 to 759 of the family's 1533-position model. Lineage: Bacteria; Pseudomonadati; Bacteroidota; Bacteroidia; Bacteroidales. The record is from RNAcentral.
AGUCGAGGGGCAGCACAGGUAGCAAUACCGGGUGGCGACCGGCGCACGGGUGAGUAACGCGUAUGCAACUUACCUAUCAGAGGGGGAUAACCCGGCGAAAGUCGGACUAAUACCGCAUGAAGCAGGGGCCCCGCAUGGGGAUAUUUGCUAAAGAUUCAUCGCUGAUAGAUAGGCAUGCGUUCCAUUAGGCAGUUGGCGGGGUAACGGCCCACCAAACCGACGAUGGAUAGGGGUUCUGAGAGGAAGGUCCCCCACAUUGGUACUGAGACACGGACCAAACUCCUACGGGAGGCAGCAGUGAGGAAUAUUGGUCAAUGGCCGAGAGGCUGAACCAGCCAAGUCGCGUGAGGGAUGAAGGUUCUAUGGAUCGUAAACCUCUUUUAUAAGGGAAUAAAGUGCGGGACGUGUCCCGUUUUGUAUGUACCUUAUGAAUAAGGAUCGGCUAACUCCGUGCCAGCAGCCGCGGUAAUACGGAGGAUUCGAGCGUUAUCCGGAUUUAUUGGGUUUAAAGGGUGCGUAGGCGGCCUUUUAAGUCAGCGGUGAAAGUCUGUGGCUCAACCAUAGAAUUGCCGUUGAAACUGGGGGGCUUGAGUAUGUUUGAGGCAGGCGGAAUGCGUGGUGUAGCGGUGAAAUGCAUAGAUAUCACGCAGAACCCCGAUUGCGAAGGCAGCCUGCCAAGCCAUUACUGACGCUGAUGCACGAAAG